Non-coding RNA from Macaca mulatta (Rhesus monkey), 2000 nucleotides. The record is from RefSeq and is a predicted model, not a curated record. NCBI's taxonomy places the organism in Eukaryota, Metazoa, Chordata, Mammalia, Primates, Cercopithecidae.
AGACUUUCCGUGUGCGAGGGCUCCGCCCUCAUGACCUCCCGUGCGCGAGGAGGGUUCCGCCCUCACGACCUUCCGUGUGCGAGGAGGGUUCGGCCCUCACGACUUUCCGCGUGCGAGAGUUCCGCCCUCAUGACCUUGUCACCUUCCAGAGGCCCUGCCUAAUAGCCCCAUCACCUUGCCGGACAAUGUGAAGUCAACGUCUAAUGGACCCGAGUUCAGGCAAGACACACACCAGUUGGUCCAGGGAAGAACCUCAAGGUGAAGCAGUAGUGAGUGUCCAAGCAACUCACAGCCUAACCUCAGGGGUCUGACUCCGGGGCUGCUUCUGCCACGGCUCCUGGCUGGCGAUGGGGCUGUCUGCGUGUCAGCCAACCAUGCAUUGCAGAUGCACUUUGAGGGAAAAUUAAUGUACCUGGGUACUUAUGGGACUCCCUGCAUGAGUGGGGUCUAAUUGAAAUAGCCAGGACAUCAAAAAGCUGGAACACUGGGAGCCUGGCCCUAGGAUGGUGGAGGCCUCAGCACAGCCCCCAGCUGGUUGCAAAGAGGCUUCCUAUGCUUUCCUUUCCUUGCCACUGCGGAAGUGUUAGGGAACAGGCAGACCAGGGCAUUGCCAAGUGAAUAAUAACAACCAUGUGUGCACUAUUCACGAUAUCCCAGGCUCAGUAAGAGCUGCCUUUUACUCAGGAUCUCAUGUGAUGCUGAAAACAAUCACGAAGUUUAGAAGCCUGUGCAGACGAAGGGAUGUGCUGUUUCCCUGUUGAUCCAAACUGCAUGCUGACCUGUUCCUGCCAGGGCUGCCCUCCUCCUGCUUUGCCCUGGCUCUCCCACUCUGUGCUCCCUCUCCUGCCGGGGAUUCCUGGAAGCACCUUUUAUUCACAGUGUGCUUUGAAUACACACAAAUAAAAUUUGUAGCCCACUCCACACAAUUGAAAAUAUAAUGUAAUAAAAAUCAGAAAAGUAAAUCCAGUAAAGUCUCUAACACAUGUUAGGGUCUCAAUAAAUGGACCCUAGGAGGGUGGGGAAAUGGCUUUGGUUUUUAACUGUGCCUCUUUUGAGCUUGAUGCUGUUAACUUAGUACAAUCUAUCAAUAAAUAUUGUCAUCAAGAAAAUAUUGAAGGUGUACCUGAGUCACAGGCGAGGAGGUGCAGGGCUUCUGAGUCACCCGCCCGGGUGUCCUUCAGUCACCCGCCUGUGAACAAUGGAACUCGUUCAUGUCCCCUCGUCCUGCGUACCACCAGGGGGCACUGAUGAGCUGAGAAAGACUUUGCGGUCCAAAAAACGUACCAAAUGAAAAGGCCACUUCCCAGCUUCUGUAAUUAAGGCGAAAAGCAGACAGGGAAUUUAUUCAAGACCUUAUUCAGAUGGCAGGGGGAGGCGGGGCCGAGCAGCCAGUGUUGAAAAGGGUUUUAUCCAAGUCAGUUUAACAUCUUAAAAAAAAAAAUUGUUGGGCAUUUUUUUUUUUUUUUUGGAUGGAGUUUCAUUCUCGUUGUCAAGGCUGGCAAUUUUUACUUCUAAUAAUUUUCUUCUCACUACUGUCAAAUCAAGUUUAGCUUAAAGCUGCCUUACAUAUUUUCAAUUUCACCUAAAGGUUUUUUGGUACAUCAUAAACUAUAACUGUGUAAACAGACUGCACCCCAUACCUGCGCCAAUCACUGAAUUUUGCCAAUCAAAUGUAGCCAACUCUUUGAACCGUGUUCUAAUAAAUCCAACACCAAGCCAUAACCAACCCAGCCGUUUCUAUACCUCGCUUCCUUUUUCUGUCCAUAAAUCUUCCAUCAUGCAGCUGCACUGGAGCCUCUGAGCCCACCCUAGCUCAAAAGGCUGCCUGAUUCAUGAAUUGUUACUGACGUAAACUCCUUUAAAUUUAAUUUGGCUGAAGCUUUUAUCACUAGUUUUAAAAAAUCUCCAAAUGGGUUAUUCUCUUUUAUCCCCUGAUUAGAUGUUAUUCUCUUUUAUUCUCUAGUUAGAUUUACUUAGAUUCCCUAAUAAGAUUUUAUUGG